UUUCAGUCUUGUCUCGUAUUGCUUUCUGUUGACCUCCCAUCUCACUGCCUGCCACUCACAAUGAAAGAAGAAGGAAGAGAGAGGAAGGAGGAAACGGUGAGUAAAAGAGAGGGAGGGUGUUGGAGAAGAGGGACCUGAAAGAGAAUGGGGAAGACAGCUUCUUGCACCAUUUCCCAUAGCUCUCUUUGUGACCACAACUGUCAGUUAGGAAGGAAGAAAAGAUGAGGGGCUAGGUUUUUCGCCUGUGGAUUCCAAGCAGGAGAGUGGAAAUAAUUGAUAAAAAUCCAGUUUCAGAGAUCUUCACAGACUGUUGUGGGGAAGUGUGAGUUGAGAAAUUGCCCCUGAGUCUUCUGACCCACUGACCCUGUGUCAGCGUCUGGCUGAUUGCAGGAAGGAGGAGUAUUUUACAUCUAUCAGAGAGGCUCCUGGACUGGUAAUGUCACCUGACCGCCUGCCUUCCAUUGGUUCAUCUGGGACUAAAUCAACAGCCAAGCCAACCCCCUCCUCUCCAGGUCUCCGGCACCCCCACCAGUCCAGUCGCAGAAAGCGUAACAGGCAGCAGAAGACUUCUUUCUCCUCUGACACUCACCCUCAUCCAGGACCCUCAUCCAUCCUCCUCUCAGACGCCACCAUGACUCCUUGGGGAGGGCUGGCUCUAUCUGAGUCCUCCUUUAACUCAAUUCCCAAAAUACUUACUCCACGACCCUCUCCACCUCCACCCCCAGCCUCUCCUGUUCCCGAGCAAAUACCGUCAGCUACCCCAUAUCAUGGCAGGAGACAGGAAGAAGACAAAGACAGCUCAGGCUCAAGUUUUAACUCUCAAAUUCCAUCUCCACCUGUGGCAGUCAUGCAAAACAGCGCAGGUGGAGCAGCUAAAGAUUUGCAGUUGAGGCGGAGGGUGUUGCCUCAGUGUCGGCUUCCUCGUGCCCCCCGUCUCCCACCGCUUAACCAGGUCACUGACCUCAGUUUCUCUCGGAGCUUCACUUUCUCCUUCUUCGAGCUGCCGCUGCACCAGUCUCCUCGCUGGCGUGCCGAGCGCGUCAAAAACCUCUUAUUGCUUUUGAAACAGAUACACUAUUGAAGACGCAGAGCUGCGUGUUCCUACUGAUAGUUCAGAUCUGCCUUUCUUGAGUAUAUUAUUGUAUUAGUAAAAUGUUUAUUUUCAAAGUAAGAGUGAUGGGUGAGGGAUUUUUUUUGGCACAAUAGGAUAAGAAAAUAAGACUGCAUGUUAUUCUAUUCGAUCUGUGUUCAUUGCUUUUCGAGAGCUGGAUUUUCUUUGUUUGAUGUUUUCAAAUUUAUUUUAAAAAAUAGUUUCUAAGGGUGUGAGUUCA
Molecule: long non-coding RNA, 1331 nt
Organism: Oreochromis aureus
Lineage: Eukaryota; Metazoa; Chordata; Actinopteri; Cichliformes; Cichlidae
Source: Ensembl